Molecule: RNA transcript, 1666 nt
Organism: Drosophila yakuba
Lineage: Eukaryota; Metazoa; Arthropoda; Insecta; Diptera; Drosophilidae
Gene name: secreted protein CSS1
Exons: 6
Source: RefSeq, a predicted model, not a curated record
UAAAGUGUCAUCUUUAAAGUAGCCCAAUAGCCGCGCAAAAGGAGCCAACUUAUUUUGAGAUUUUGGCCAUUAUUCCGAUUUACACCAAGCAACCUUAUAUAUAUAUGGGUUCACCUGCCUCUUACUUUACUGGGAAAUUAUUUCAUAACUUACCUCUCCUUUCCUAGCCCGAAUAAUGUCGGAUUCGACUAUCUUUCCUUUUAACUUAACUACUCAAUUAUCCAUCAUUGCUCAGUCAGCGGAAAGCAACGUAUCCAGUUCGAGCUCCAACUCAAGUGUAUCCGAAUCUUCUGCGGAAUCCCAUUUAUCUCAGUCAGCGGACAGCAACGUAUCCAGUUCGAGCUCCAACUCAAGUGUAUCCGAAUCUAUAGCUUCCAAUUCAUAUUUCGGAUCUAAUACAUCCGUGGAAUCUCAUUUAUCUGUUAAUUCUAAUUCGUCCUUGGAUAACCAAUCACCAGAGGAGUCUUAUUUAUCUGUGGAAUCAGACUCAUCUCCAACACCCAAUACCAGCGAAUCUUUUUCGGCCGGAGAAGCUUCAAACCAACUGCAGUCACCGCAAAGCAAUAGCUCCUUGAAUAUGAGCCACGAUGAAUCCCACUCUGUGGCUAACUGGUCUCUCUCGAAUGACGAUGCUCACUCGCAGAUCAGAUCACUUACCCAGGAUGUGGCCCAGAUGGAAGCAGAAUUGGAUAGCAUAAAUCGCUACUGCGAGGAAGUUGUAGCACAGAUUGAUACCUUACCCACGAGUACCUCAACGCCAACAGUAGUGCGUGGAAAUCGCCGCAGAAGUGCCAUGAAUCCAGUAGAAAUAAUAGAUCUGUCCCAUUUGGAGUUUGUACCACCGGUUCGAUCUGCUCGGAAUCGUGCGCCCGAUGCUGUCAUAGAUCUGUGCACUCCCGACGGGCCAAGAAGUCGCCCAGUCAAUCUUCCCUCCAACGACUCCUUCACCAUUCCUAGUCGUCGGCGCGUCUUGGCUCAGUCAACCGAAAAUUCCCCGGUAGUGGAUCUCGACGAUGUGUCGCCACCAAAACGCGUUUAUCGCGAUAUAGAUCUGUCCCAUAAAGAGGACUCAUACAAGUGCCCCGUCUGCAUGGACAGCGUAACGAAGCGCGAGCCAGUGUCAACCAAAUGUGGACACGUCUUCUGCCGGGAAUGUAUCCAAACAGCCAUCAGCGCUACGCACAAGUGUCCAAUGUGCAACAAGAAGCUAACUGCACGUCAAUUCUUUCGCAUUUACUUGUUUUUCGGCAACUAUUUCAUUUGUGAUAGAAGUCACCCAUCAUUAUAUGGAAUGCUCAGAAUUAUUAAAGCAUCGACACAACAGGCAAAUAAUAUAAAUUCAACGAGUGAAAAUAUGCCGUAGAUGGAACAUAAGAAAGAACUUCGCUAUUUUUAAGAUUGUAAAGAGUCUCUAUAAAGAGUGUUUGUCCUCAAGUUUGGAGAAUGUGGUGCCAAUUAAAUCCAGCGGGAUAAAUAAUGAUUAUAAGCAUAAAAGUACGAUUUUUGCUUAUAUUUGGAGUGAAAUGUUUCUACGAAUCUGAGGAUCUAGUCGAAUGGUUUGCUUUUUAUAUGGCGGUAAAGAACGUUUAAUAAUUAAUAAUUUAGAAACCCCUAAGUAUGCUAUGCAAAAUCUUUUUUUAACUAUGUAAAGUCAAUCAACACAGUA